This 403-nucleotide ribosomal RNA is filed under the name bacterium. RNAcentral describes it as "partial 16S ribosomal RNA". It matches the Rfam family "Bacterial small subunit ribosomal RNA", at positions 355 to 776 of the family's 1533-position model. The record is from RNAcentral.
UGGGGAAUAUUGCACAAUGGGGGAAACCCUGAUGCAGCGACGCCGCGUGAACGAAGAAGGUAUUCGUAUCGUAAAGUUCUGUCCUAUGGGAAGAUAAUGACAGUACCAUAGAAGAAAGCCCCGGCUAAAUACGUGCCAGCAGCCGCGGUAAUACGUAUGGAGCGAGCGUUGUCCGGAAUUAUUGGGCGUAAAGGGUACGCAGGCGGUUUAAUAAGUCGAAUGUUAAAGAUCGGGGCUCAACCCCGCAAAGCAUUGGAAACUGAAAAACUUGAGUAGUGGAGAAGAAAGUGGAAUUCCUAGUGUAGUGGUGAGAUACGUGGAUAUUAGGAGGAAUACCAGUAGCGAAGGCGACUUUCUGGACACAAACUGACGCUGAGGUACGAAAGCGUGGGGAGCAAACAGG